UGGGGAAUAUUGCACAAUGGGCGAAAGCCUGAUGCAGCAACGCCGCGUGAGGGACGACGGCCGUUCGGUUGAUAACCUCUUUUAGCAAGGAAGAAGCGAAAGUGACGGUACUUGCAGAAAAAGCGCCGGCUAACUACGUGCCAGCAGCCGCGGUAAUACGUAGGGCGCAAGCGUUAUCCGGAAUUAUUGGGCGUAAAGAGCUCGUAGGCGGUUUGUCGCGUCUGCUGUGAAAACCCGAGGCUCAACCUCGGGCCUGCAGUGGGUACGGGCAGACUAGAGUGCGGUAGGGGAGAUUGGAACUCCUGGUGUAGCGGUGGAAUGCGCAGAUAUCAGGAAGAACACCGAUGGCGAAGGCAGAUCUCUGGGCCGUAACUGACGCUGAGGAGCGAAAGGGUGGGGAGCAAACAGGCUUAGAUACCCUGGUAGUCCACCCGUAAACGUUGGGAACUAGUUGUGGGGUCCAUUCCACGGAUUCCGUGACGCAGCUAACGCAUUAAGUUCCCCGCCUGGGGAGUACGGCCGCAAGG
RNAcentral lists this ribosomal RNA (527 nucleotides) under uncultured bacterium. RNAcentral describes it as "partial 16S ribosomal RNA". It matches the Rfam family "Bacterial small subunit ribosomal RNA", at positions 355 to 893 of the family's 1533-position model. The record is from RNAcentral.